This 131-nucleotide transfer RNA is filed under the name Anopheles maculatus. RNAcentral describes it as "tRNA tRNA-Tyr". It matches the Rfam family "tRNA". Rfam says of the family: Transfer RNA (tRNA) molecules are approximately 80 nucleotides in length. The record is from RNAcentral. Lineage: Eukaryota; Metazoa; Arthropoda; Insecta; Diptera; Culicidae.
CCUUCGAUAGCUCAGUUGGUAGAGCGGUGGACUGUAGAAAAAGUGAAAGUGGCUUAGCUCAAAAUGCAUUUGUGGAUCACUUUCAAACAAUAGAAAUCCAUAGGUCACUGGUUCAAAUCCGGUUCGAAGGA